This 1237-nucleotide long non-coding RNA is filed under the name Vulpes vulpes (red fox). RNAcentral describes it as "lncRNA (ENSVVUG00000027042.1)". Lineage: Eukaryota; Metazoa; Chordata; Mammalia; Carnivora; Canidae. The record is from RNAcentral.
AUGCUGGCCCUACCUCUGGGCAAGUGCCAAAGACUUGGCUUUUCCCUGUCUGCAAAACGGGUUGAUGCAGGAUUAAGUAACACAAGUGAACAACUAACCCCGGGGCACAGCAAACCCAUGAUAAGCCAACUAGCAUCUGUACCUCCUCACAAAUGUGACACUGCACAUGUCCAGCCCAGUUCCAGGCUUGUUCCCCACAAAACCCACAACAAAUGUCAUUUACUUCUUUCCCCCAAAUCCUGGAUCUCAGCUCUGGGUGGGGAAGGGUCAGCUAUGCUUUCUUGGUAUAAUUAUCGUUCCUUUAUUUGGAUGUUCCCAGGCUUGUUUUACACCAAUUGUUUGAAUCUUCAUUUCUGUACGUGCUUCAUACUGUUUGGGGAGAAAUCUCUCAGUAGCAGUUCCCCAGAAUGUGCCUUGUGGAGACAUGGUGGAAAGGAAAAAGAACCCAGUUCCUGGAGCUCCAGUAGGUGCCUGCAUGUGGUCACAGGACUUCUUGACUUCAAGGCGUUGACUUCUACUGAAAUGAUGAGCCAAGUAUGCUACAGAUUGACUCAGAGGUCCACCUAACACCAUGAGAGAUGGGUCGGCGACAGAUGAGGGCCUAGCCCCUCUCCAGCUGUCUCCUGGCUGCCAUCCUCCACUCCUGGUACAAAGGGGCUCACACUUCGAUCUUUCCAUGUGAAAAGGACCAAAAAUCUACUCUCAAAGCUCAGAGUUCCAAAUGGAUCAUUGGUGUCCACUCAGGUGUCACGUGUCGCCUUCAGAAGCAUAUGAGUGUAGGGAGAGAAGUGUGUGUGUGUGUGUGUGUGUGUGUGUGUGUGUGUGUGAGAGAGAGAGAGAGAGAGAGAGAGAGAGAGAGGGAGAGAGGGAGAGAGGGAGAGAGGGAGAGAGAGACAGAGACAGAGACAGAGACAAAGAGAGGUUGAUUGAGAUUCAUUCCCACUACUGGCAAAUGUCUAGAACAGAGUUUCUUGAUGCCUUAUAUUUGUCUGACAUUUCAAAAAGAUUAGUGUGUAGGUGUCCAGGUAUUAAUAUUGAUCUCUGUUCAUUCCUUUGGGUAAACAACUGCUCGAACACAACACCACUUGAUUACUUUAAUUCAGAAAUAGUAGGAGAAGAAAAUCGCCUGUUUUCAUCUUUAUUUGAUAGCUGUAGAAGGUUCUGGGUCAAGCAGGUGAGGUCAGUGGUGGUGAUUUUAGUUGUAAUAAAGGCAUAUUUGUGAGCCCUGUUCCUUGCA